AUUGAACGCUGGCGGCAGGCCUAACACAUGCAAGUCGAACGGUAGCACAGAGAGCUUGCUCUCGGGUGACGAGUGGCGGACGGGUGAGUAACGUCUGGGAAACUGCCCGAUGGAGGGGGAUAACUACUGGAAACGGUAGCUAAUACCGCAUAACGUCGCAAGACCAAAGUGGGGGACCUUCGGGCCUCACACCCUCGGAUGUCCCCAGAUGGGAUUAGCUAGUAGGUGGGGUAAUGGCUCACCUAGGCGGCGAUCCCUAGCUGGUCUGAGAGGAUGACCAGCCACACUGGAACUGAGACACGGUCCAGACUCCUACGGGAGGCAGCAGUGGGGAAUAUUGCACAAUGGGCGCAAGCCUGAUGCAGCCAUGCCGCGUGUAUGAAGAAGGCCUUCGGGUUGUAAAGUACUUUCAGCGGGGAGGAAGGCGGUGAAGUUAAUAGCUUCACCGAUUGACGUUACCCGCAGAAGAAGCACCGGCUAACUCCGUGCCAGCAGCCGCCGUAA
RNAcentral lists this ribosomal RNA (504 nucleotides) under uncultured bacterium. Its description in RNAcentral is "partial 16S ribosomal RNA". It matches the Rfam family "Bacterial small subunit ribosomal RNA", at positions 30 to 523 of the family's 1533-position model. The record is from RNAcentral.